CACCCCCCCAAACGAACAUAUGACGUUUCUCGUGGAAAAAAUCGAUAUGUGAGGCUUCCCUAAGUUAAGAUGUGCAAAAUUAAUCUAAUACGCGGACGUGAGGAAAAAACUGAGUUAUUAGGUUUUACUUUACAGUUUAAAUUCGUUUUUCAUCUGUAUCUGUACUUGUUCACAAAAGGCAUAUAUAGUUUUUACUCGUGAAUUUAGCGUGUGUUUAUCAUGAUGUAUUGUCACGACCGUGUACUAGAUUUACCACAUCUUAAAGUCCCGCAGCCUAAUCAUCUUCAGUGAAUUUCCGCAUAUAGGGCCCCGGAUCAUAUUUACCAGAGCAGAGGAGCUUGGCUUCAAAAACACAGUUGGAGUUAUCGCUCCAGUUAUUAUAGAGUUUACUGAGCCAAAACAGUCAUGAGCCCAUAGAAAUAAUAGACACAGAAUGGCGCGCUGAUGACGAAUCAUGUCUCCACUUUUUCACCGUGCGUGCCUUUUGAAUGCGCCAUUUUGAAUUUUGGCCUGGAGUCUAUGUCUAUUAUUUUUAUGGUGCAGCUGCACCCGAAUUUUUUAGUUGAUAUUUAAAAUUCGGGUUGAGACUGCACGCAGGUCAUGUGACCAUUUUCGAUUCUAUCGGUGUUCCGAAAAUCCGGAGUACUCCGAACAGUAACUGGAAAAGGCUGGGACAAUAUUAUAGAAAUAUUAGACCUAUUUUAUUAUUAAUUAUUAUUAAUAUUAGAUAUUAUUCUAUGGACAAUAUACAGAAAACGAGGCUGCGUCCUAAUUCAAAUUGCUUUUUAUGUUUAUUUUUGCAUGAAGCAGCCUUAGGCUUAGCAUUAAUCUUUUUGGCACCAGUAUACUUUUAUAUAUAUGUUCACAGUUGUUUAUAGAACAAUAAAGAUAAAGAAUAUCUGUAUGGUGACUCGUAUCUUACGUUAGAAACUUUGUGCUCCGCGAUGCAGACGCCGAUGCUUUUGCAAAUAGCAAAAAUUUAUUAACUUCGUAUUUAUUAACUUCGUAUUACAA
Non-coding RNA from Paramuricea clavata, 1014 nucleotides. The record is from the annotation of a GenBank genome assembly. Lineage: Eukaryota; Metazoa; Cnidaria; Anthozoa; Malacalcyonacea; Plexauridae.